CCCUUGGCCUUGACAUACUAAGAACUUUCCAGAGAUGGAUUGGUGCCUUUCGGGAACUUAGAUACAGGUGCUGCAUGGCUGUCGUCAGCUCGUGUCGUGAGAUGUUGGGUUAAGUCCGCAACGAGCGCAACCCUUUUUCCUUAUUUGCCAGCGGGUAAUGCCGGGAACUUUAAGGAUACUGCCAGUGACAAACUGGAGGAAGGCGGGGACGACGUCAAGUCAUCAUGGCCCUUACGGCCAGGGCUACACACGUGCUACAAUGGUCGGUACAAAGGGUUGCUACCUCGCGAGAGGAUGCUAAUCUCAAAAAGCCGAUCGUAGUCCGGAUCGCAGUCUGCAACUCGACUGCGUGAAGUCGGAAUCGCUAGUAAUCGCGGAUCAGAAUGCCGCGGUGAAUACGUUCCCGGGCCUUGUACACACCGCCCGUCACACCAUGGGAGUUUGUUGCACCAGAAGUAGGUAGUCUAACCGCAAGGAGGACGCUUACCACGGUGUGGCCGAUGACUGGGGUGAAGUCGUAACAAGGUAAGCGUAGAUGA
This 539-nucleotide ribosomal RNA is filed under the name uncultured bacterium. RNAcentral's name for it is "bacterial SSU rRNA". It matches the Rfam family "Bacterial small subunit ribosomal RNA", at positions 972 to 1509 of the family's 1533-position model. The record is from RNAcentral.